UACGAACCGUCCAAACGUUAUUCGGAAUUACUGGGCUUAAAGGGUUCGUAGGCGGCCAUGUAAGUGGGGUGUGAAAUCCCUCGGCUCAACCGAGGAAUAGCGCUCCAAACUACAUGGCUUGAGGGAGACAGGGGUAAGCGGAACUGAUGGUGGAGCGGUGAAAUGCGUUGAUAUCAUCAGGAACACCGGUGGCGAAAGCGGCUUACUGGGUCUCUUCUGACGCUGAGGAACGAAAGCUAGGGUAGCGAACGGG
RNAcentral lists this ribosomal RNA (253 nucleotides) under uncultured bacterium. RNAcentral's name for it is "partial 16S ribosomal RNA". It matches the Rfam family "Bacterial small subunit ribosomal RNA", at positions 524 to 776 of the family's 1533-position model. The record is from RNAcentral.